This 21-nucleotide non-coding RNA is filed under the name Caenorhabditis elegans. Lineage: Eukaryota; Metazoa; Nematoda; Chromadorea; Rhabditida; Rhabditidae. The record is from RNAcentral.
UUUUAUCGAAGGAAACCCAUU